RNAcentral lists this long non-coding RNA (2441 nucleotides) under Capsicum annuum. RNAcentral's name for it is "long non-coding RNA (CANN_LNC019937)". Lineage: Eukaryota; Viridiplantae; Streptophyta; Magnoliopsida; Solanales; Solanaceae. The record is from RNAcentral.
AUCUUUACAACUCAAGUUCCCAAGUAUUGCGAAGUCCCAACUGAAAAACAAAGUGCGGGAGAUAGCAGAGUUUAUUGAUGGUAGAUGGCAGGUGAUUUUCUCAAGUCUGGGUUACUGUCUCAAAAUUUAUUCACAUAAAAGAGACCCCUGCAAUCAGAAGGGUAUAACGUAUAAGAAUUGGCAAAAAAUUUCCACUUUGUGAUAUAAUCCAUAAAGGAUGACAUCCAAUAUCGUGUACCAAGGAUGACUGCAGAAGCAGUACAACCCAUGAAAGUUUAUCAUAAAGCUAAUAAAGCAUUCCAGUUUAUCACCCAAGUUAAAAAGUGUGGACAGGAAAUGCAUGGGACAAACCCUUUGACUCUUCCUAUCUUUUCUGGGAAAUUAUAUAUACAUCCUGUUCUAGUUUUCUUUGUGCCAUACCUCUUUCUACGUUAGUCUUACGCGAUUUAUUAGUCUGAAUUUUCCAAGCAACAGAUUCAUGUUACUUUCUUUUGACAUAGUUGAUUUCCUUGCAAUAUGAAAACUAGUUUUCCUUGAUGAUUUUCAUUCGUAGUUAGCUGAAGAAUACUGCAGUUUACCGAUACUGCAUUUUUCUUACUUUUGCAGGUUAGAAAGGAUGUUCUUGUGAAACUUGGGCUGCCUAUAACAACACCUGGUAUGAACCUCUCAUGUACUAUUGCACUAUUUGUUCGCAUGAGAAUUAUGCUCCUGUUUCUUUAGCAUCUCUGUUUAUUACGAUUUUCUUCCUUGUUGUAAAGUUGUAUCUUUCGAUUAUUUACAGAAAAAAGCAGCAGGACAAAGAGCAUUGCGGCAUUUUUUUCCAAGAGAUGUUUACCACCUUCCGGAAAGACCAUCAAUCUGCAUGAGGCUUCCCCACAAGCAAGCCAGAAAACUUCUUCAGCUUCCAUCCAGCCACAGCAAGACUUCACAUACAAAAAUGAAUAAGAAUCUAAACUUUGUUAAAUCUUCUUGCCCCUUAGUUCAAGUUUUUCUUGUUUCUGGUAAUAACCUCUUACGAUAUAAUAGAUGCCUGCUCAUUUAUACCAGGCUUUGUGACUUUUAUAUUCUGGUCAAAUUUUCAAAUUUUCGAAUCAAAUAUCCUUCACAAAGAAAGAUGACUAGAAUGUGUUUGUCUCAAGGAUUACAGAGAAAGAUGCCUGAGCAUCUGGAUCUGUAUAUCCUUUAUGUGUUUUCAUAACUGAAUUUACUGUAUGUAUAUAACAACUUGUAAUUCCAAGUUGCAUGGUUAUGAUUUUCUAUUUUUGUCCAUCCUGUUUGUUUGAUUUGGAUUUCUAUUUAUCUGUUUUAUGUUUUACUGCUUUUGAGGAUCUGAAUAGCAUUUGGACAUACUAUAGUUUGCUUAUUUGAUAACAUUUUAUAAGAAUUGGAGAAAAUUUAAUAGUUUUUGAGUUGAUUUCUUUGCCUAAAGGUGGGCAUUAUCUUUUCAGUUAUAAAUCAUAUCUCAUUAAUAUCUUGAUUAUUUAUUUCUAAUUGAAGGAAAUUUUGAGUUGAUCUCAUUUCCUAUAAAUUGAUGAUAUUCUCUUUAAUUGUGAGUCAUAUCUCAUUAUAUCUAAUAAUAGAGGUAUUCUUUGUAUUACUGUAUAUAGAAGUGACAUAUAGCACUUUUUUUGAGCAUAUAUAUACCUAAUUGAAGAAAAUAUAUCAUUAAUAUUAUGUAAUAGUGGAGCUACUCUUUGUGCAGUGGUGAAAUAAGACCCUUUUUUUCAGGGUAUUUACGUAUUUAUAACUAAUUGAAGAAACUUUAAGUUAAAUGUAUUACCUAUAAAUUAUGAAAUUUUAAUAAUUUGCACUUUAAAUUAUUUUUCCUUUCUAUUUGUCUGAGUAAACCUUAGACUCAAAAGAAAAGUAAAUACUAGCAAUAUACUAGAUAAAUAAAGCAACAGACAGUAUUACACAGUAGAACUAUUAAAUAUUACUGCUAACAAGGGUUGCAAGAAAACUCCUACAUAAAAUGCAACAACAUUAUAGUAUUAUAUAUUAACCUUCUAUCAUAAUCAUUGAUCUUCAUGUCUUUCCAUCUAAGAUUACGUCUUCAAUAAAUAGAAACUUCAUGUCUUUCCAUCUAAGAUUAUGUAUGUCAUAUCCUGUCCAAAAGUAUACUCAAAAUUUUUUUUUCACUUAAAUUUGAAUUUGGCAACCAAAACCAGAUCCAAAAAAGUGUAGCAAUGUAGCUAUUGUGAUUAUCUAAAUCAAUGCUGAAUUUAUGAUUAUUUAUAUUUAUAAGAAUUAAAGGAUGAGCAAGGCGGCGUUUGUUGUCCCUAUUAUUUUUGUAGUAUUGUUGAGUCCUACACGUAACGCUUACUCUUUUUUCUUAUUUGAAUAUUAUUUCAGGUAAGAUCAAAAUUAAAUGACCAUAAUUUUAGAUAUUCAUUUAAUCUUAGUAGGUAUAGAUAUUUUUCUUCUCAUAUUUAAUGCUCGUU